AGUCAGUUAAGCGCAAGGAUCACGAUACCGGGUGACGAGUUUUUUUUCGAGGACAUGAGUUUUUAGCAUCAAAAGAUCAACGAAUUUUCACGUGAAAAUUUAACACCAUUCAUAGUAUUGUUGAAAAUUCUACAGGUACGAAACAUAUAAUCAUUUGACGAAACAAUGGUAGUAACAACGGGGGGUACCCGUAAACCGAUUUAUGAGUGGAAUAUAUUCAUUUUUCAUUUUUUUUUUACAAUUUUUU
Cinara cedri is the source of this 247-nucleotide non-coding RNA. The record is from the annotation of a GenBank genome assembly. Lineage: Eukaryota; Metazoa; Arthropoda; Insecta; Hemiptera; Aphididae.